RNAcentral lists this ribosomal RNA (253 nucleotides) under uncultured bacterium. RNAcentral describes it as "partial 16S ribosomal RNA". It matches the Rfam family "Bacterial small subunit ribosomal RNA", at positions 524 to 776 of the family's 1533-position model. The record is from RNAcentral.
UACGUAGGGGGCAAGCGUUGUCCGGAGUUACUGGGCGUAAAGCGCACGCAGGCGGUCUCUUAAGUUUGGAGUGACAGUUGGUGGCUUAACUGCCAAAGUGCUUCGAAAACUGAGAGACUUGAGGGCUUUAGAGGGACACGGAAUUCCGGGUGGAGUGGUGAAAUGCGUAGAGAUCCGGAGGAACACCAAAGGCGAAGGCAGUGUCCUGGGGAGUACCUGACGCUCAGGUGCGAAAGCCAGGGGAGCGAACGGG